Molecule: ribosomal RNA, 253 nt
Filed under: uncultured bacterium
Lineage: Bacteria
Description: partial 16S ribosomal RNA
Rfam family: Bacterial small subunit ribosomal RNA
Source: RNAcentral
UACAGAGGUCUCAAGCGUUGUUCGGAUUCAUUGGGCGUAAAGGGUGCGUAGGCGGCGCGGUAAGUCGGGUGUGAAAUCUUGUAGCUUAACUCCGAAACUGCAUUCGAUACUGCCGUGCUUGAGGACUGGAGAGGAGACUGGAAUUUACGGUGUAGCGGUGAAAUGCGUAGAUAUCGUAAGGAAGACCAGUGGCGAAGGCGGGUCUCUGGACAGUUCCUGACGCUGAGGCACGAAGGCCAGGGGAGCAAACGGG